UUUCYGUAGGUGAACCUGCGGAAGGAUCAUUG
RNAcentral lists this ribosomal RNA (32 nucleotides) under Orobanche picridis. RNAcentral's name for it is "partial 18S ribosomal RNA". Lineage: Eukaryota; Viridiplantae; Streptophyta; Magnoliopsida; Lamiales; Orobanchaceae. The record is from RNAcentral.